UACGAAGGAUGCAAGCGUUUUCCGGAUUUAUUGGGUUUAAAGGGUGCGUAGGCGGACUUAUAAGUCAGGGGUGAAAUCUCGUUGCUUAACAACGAACGUGCCAUUGAUACUGUAGGUCUUGAGUACAGAUGCCGUUGGCGGAAUGUGUCAUGUAGCGGUGAAAUGCAUAGAUAUGACACAGAACACCGAUUGCGAAGGCAGCUGACGAAACUGUAACUGACGCUGAGGCACGAAAGCGUGGGGAUCAAACAGG
Molecule: ribosomal RNA, 253 nt
Filed under: uncultured bacterium
Lineage: Bacteria
Description: partial 16S ribosomal RNA
Rfam family: Bacterial small subunit ribosomal RNA
Source: RNAcentral